This 148-nucleotide non-coding RNA is filed under the name Pan troglodytes (chimpanzee). Lineage: Eukaryota; Metazoa; Chordata; Mammalia; Primates; Hominidae. The record is from Rfam by way of RNAcentral.
GCCAGGCGUGGUGGCGGGCGCCUGUAGUCCCAGUUACUCGGGAGGCUGAGGCAGGAGAAUUGCUUGAACCCAGGAUGUGGAGGUUGCAGUGAGCUGAGAUUGCACCACUGCACCCCAGCCUGGGUGACAGAGCAAGACUCUGUCUCAA